Molecule: long non-coding RNA, 1371 nt
Filed under: Marmota monax (woodchuck)
Lineage: Eukaryota; Metazoa; Chordata; Mammalia; Rodentia; Sciuridae
Source: RNAcentral
GGGGUCCUGUGCAGCUUUGCAGAGGCUCCAGCAGAGGGCUAUCAGGAAAGCCUGCCAGGCCUCCCUCCCAAGCCUCCACCCACCCGGCCCAUCCUUCCUCUCCUGCAGGGUGGAGGCCUCCCAUCUGCAUUCUUCCCGCUGAGGAGACCAGCAAAACAGGCCUCCGCCCUGGCCCUGGGCCCGCCUGGAGGAAGAGGGACCAUGGCUUCCGGGAUUCCAACAGCCCCCCAGCCUGGAGACCCUCGGGGCUUCGGGUGCUGAGGGACAGGCAGGCAAGCUCACAGGACACGGUCACCAGGGUCACCAUGUUGCUUGGCAACAGGCACAGUGUUUGUUCCCAAAUUUAACACUCCCCUGUCAGGCUGGGACCCUGUGUGUCCACCUGGCCUCUCUGGUGGCAGCUGGCUCGCGGUGGAGGGUGUGAGUGAACAGGUUAGUGUCCCUAGGGACUGCUGGAGCCAGCCUCUAGGGCCUCAGGCUCUGUCCCCACAAGGGAGGGCAGGGCCACCACCAGCUCCACCCGUCACGCCCGGCCACCCAGGAGGCAGUCUGGCUUAAGAGGUUUCAAGGACUCUGUAGGGGCCUCCCAGGACAGGUGGGGCAUGGAGGUGACCCUUGGAACCUGCCAGGCGGGGCAGAACCCGGUGAAGAAGUGACCUUUGGAGCAGAGAAGAGCCCUGGAGGGGCAUCCUUUCCUCAGUCUUCAGGUUUCACACUCCCCCAGGUGUUGGGAGGGGUCUCAGCAGGUGACCUGUGGUGGGCAGAGGGCAGAGGACUGGCUCUCCAGUGGCACGAGGCUUACCCUCCGGCUCCCUCUGGUAAAUGCCCGCAGACCCCCACCUGUGGGCACAGUACCCUUCCACGCAGGGGACGCCAGCCUGAGGUCUCCUGGUCUGUCCUGGGGCAGCCUCCUCAGACCCUGGCCCUUCCUGCUCUGCUCGCUGAGGGUCUCUGCUCUGCCCGAGUCCCGGCCCCAGCCGGCCCCUCCAGGCAGAGAGCUCGCCCUGCGCCUAUGCUGGCUCAGGCUGGGAUCCCGGGUCCUCUGCCAGGUGCCAGUCUGACCCCCCUGGCCACAGGAAGGGCCGGAAGGUCUGCUGACAGUGCUGGGCGCUCACAGCUGACGGAGGGGCCGGGUAGCAGAUGUUUCCUUUCUGUGUCACACAUCAUGGGAUUUGGAGACGCUGGUUCCAGUGACAACACCCGCCUCGUCCCUCACUCAUGCGGUGUUGAGGGCCUGCGAGGGGCCAGCAGUGGCUCCAGGGGGCAGUGUGGCUAGGUGUACCCACGAGGCCCCUGCCAACGUACCACACAGAGCUGCAACAUGGCAGCUCCGCCAGGGCCAGGAGACCCGUCCUGGAAAAGAGGCUGCUU